GACACACGGCGGGUGCUAACGUCCGUCGUGAAGAGGGAAACAACCCAGACCGCCAGCUAAGGUCCCAAAGUCAUGGUUAAGUGGGAAACGAUGUGGGAAGGCCCAGACAGCCAGGAUGUUGGCUUAGAAGCAGCCAUCAUUUAAAGAAAGCGUAAUAGCUCACUGGUCGAGUCGGCCUGCGCGGAAGAUGUAACGGGGCUAAACCAUGCACCGAAGCUGCGGCAGCGAACGUAUCACCCAAGACAACUUUACGGAGUUGACGAUUGACGGAGCGAAGCGACGUCAAAGCGUUCAUUAAAGUCGAGUUGGCUUAGGGAUACGUUCGUUGGGUAGGGGAGCGUUCUGUAAGCCUGUGAAGGUGUGUCGUGAGGCAUGCUGGAGGUAUCAGAAGUGCGAAUGCUGACAUAAGUAACGAUAAAGCGGGUGAAAAGCCCGCUCGCCGGAAGACCAAGGGUUCCUGUCCAACGUUAAUCGGGGCAGGGUGAGUCGACCCCUAAGGCGAGGCCGAAAGGCGUAGUCGAUGGGAAACGGGUUAAUAUUCCCGUACUUGGUGUUACUGCGAAGGGGGGACGGAGAAGGCUAUGUUGGCCGGGCGACGGUUGUCCCGGUUUAAGCGUGUAGGUGUGUGUUCCAGGUAAAUCCGGUUCACUUUAACACUGAGGCGUGACGACGAGGCACUACGGUGCUGAAGCAACAAAUGCCCUGCUUCCAGGAAAAGCCUCUAAGCAUCAGGUAACACGAAAUCGUACCCCAAACCGACACAGGUGGUCAGGUAGAGAAUACCAAGGCGCUUGAGAGAACUCGGGUGAAGGAACUAGGCAAAAUGGUGCCGUAACUUCGGGAGAAGGCACGCUGACACGUAGGUGAAGUGAUUUACUCAUGGAGCUGAAGUCAGUCGAAGAUACCAGCUGGCUGCAACUGUUUAUUAAAAACACAGCACUGUGCAAACACGAAAGUGGACGUAUACGGUGUGACGCCUGCCCGGUGCCGGAAGGUUAAUUGAUGGGGUCAGCGCAAGCGAAGCUCCUGAUCGAAGCCCCGGUAAACGGCGGCCGUAACUAUAACGGUCCUAAGGUAGCGAAAUUCCUUGUCGGGUAAGUUCCGACCUGCACGAAUGGCGUAAUGAUGGCCAGGCUGUCUCCACCCGAGACUCAGUGAAAUUGAACUCGCUGUGAAGAUGCAGUGUACCCGCGGCAAGACGGAAAGACCCCGUGAACCUUUACUAUAGCUUGACACUGAACAUUGAGCCUUGAUGUGUAGGAUAGGUGGGAGGCUUUGAAGUGUGGACGCCAGUCUGCAUGGAGCCGACCUUGAAAUACCACCCUUUAAUGUUUGAUGUUCUAACGUGGACCCGUAAUCCGGGUUGCGGACAGUGUCUGGUGGGUAGUUUGACUGGGGCGGUCUCCUCCUAAAGAGUAACGGAGGAGCACGAAGGUUGGCUAAUCCUGGUCGGACAUCAGGAGGUUAGUGCAAUGGCAUAAGCCAGCUUGACUGCGAGCGUGACGGCGCGAGCAGGUGCGAAAGCAGGUCAUAGUGAUCCGGUGGUUCUGAAUGGAAGGGCCAUCGCUCAACGGAUAAAAGGUACUCCGGGGAUAACAGGCUGAUACCGCCCAAGAGUUCAUAUCGACGGCGGUGUUUGGCACCUCGAUGUCGGCUCAUCACAUCCUGGGGCUGAAGUAGGUCCCAAGGGUAUGGCUGUUCGCCAUUUAAAGUGGUACGCGAGCUGGGUUUAGAACGUCGUGAGACAGUUCGGUCCCUAUCUGCCGUGGGCGCUGGAGAACUGAGGGGGGCUGCUCCUAGUACGAGAGGACCGGAGUGGACGCAUCACUGGUGUUCGGGUUGUCAUGCCAAUGGCACUGCCCGGUAGCUAAAUGCGGAAGAGAUAAGUGCUGAAAGCAUCUAAGCACGAAACUUGCCCCGAGAUGAGUUCUCCCUGAGACUUUAGGUCUCCUGAAGGAACGUUGAAGACGACGACGUUGAUAGGCCGGGUGUGUAAGCGCAGCGAUGCGUUGAGCUAACCGGUACUAAUGAACCGUGAGGCUUAACCUUACAACGCCGAAG
This 2061-nucleotide ribosomal RNA is filed under the name Salmonella enterica. RNAcentral's name for it is "partial 23S ribosomal RNA". It matches the Rfam family "Bacterial large subunit ribosomal RNA", at positions 983 to 2925 of the family's 2925-position model. Lineage: Bacteria; Pseudomonadati; Pseudomonadota; Gammaproteobacteria; Enterobacterales; Enterobacteriaceae. The record is from RNAcentral.